UACGUAGGGUGCGAGCGUUGUCCGGAAUUAUUGGGCGUAAAGAGCUCGUAGGCGGUGCGUCACGUCGGCCGUGAAAACCUGCAGCUUAACUGUGGGCGUGCGGUCGAUACGGGCAUCACUGGAGUUCGGCAGGGGAGACUGGAAUUCCUGGUGUAGCGGUGAAAUGCGCAGAUAUCAGGAGGAACACCGGUGGCGAAGGCGGCAUCCUGGACCAAUACUGACGCUGAGGAGCGAAAGCCAGGGGAGCAAACGGG
This 254-nucleotide ribosomal RNA is filed under the name uncultured bacterium. RNAcentral describes it as "partial 16S ribosomal RNA". It matches the Rfam family "Bacterial small subunit ribosomal RNA", at positions 524 to 776 of the family's 1533-position model. The record is from RNAcentral.